UGGGGAAUAUUGCACAAUGGGCGCAAGCCUGAUGCAGCCAUGCCGCGUGUGUGAAGAAGGCCUUCGGGUUGUAAAGCACUUUCAGCGGGGAGGAAGGCGGUGAGGUUAAUAACCUCACCGAUUGACGUUACCCGCAGAAGAAGCACCGGCUAACUCCGUGCCAGCAGCCGCGGUAAUACGGAGGGUGCAAGCGUUAAUCGGAAUUACUGGGCGUAAAGCGCACGCAGGCGGUUGAUUGAGUCAGAUGUUAAAUCCCCGGGCUUAACCCGGGAAUUGCAUCUGAUACUGGUCAGCUAGAGUCUUGUAGAGGGGGGUAGAAUUCCAUGUGUAGCGGUGAAAUGCGUAGAGAUGUGGAGGAAUACCGGUGGCGAAGGCGGCCCCCUGGACAAAGACUGACGCUCAGGUGCGAAAGCGUGGGGAGCAAACAGG
Molecule: ribosomal RNA, 429 nt
Filed under: Chloroflexota bacterium
Lineage: Bacteria; Bacillati; Chloroflexota
Description: Chloroflexi bacterium partial 16S ribosomal RNA
Rfam family: Bacterial small subunit ribosomal RNA
Source: RNAcentral